UACGUAGGGCGCGAGCGUUGUCCGGAUUUAUUGGGCGUAAAGAGCGUGUAGGCGGCUUGACAGGUCUGCUGUGAAAACUCGAGGCUCAACCUCGAGAUGUCGGCGGAAACCGUCUGGCUAGAGUCCGGAAGAGGAGAGUGGAAUUCCUGGUGUAGCGGUGAAAUGCGCAGAUAUCAGGAAGAACACCUAUGGCGAAGGCAGCUCUCUGGGACGGUACUGACGCUGAGACGCGAAAGCGUGGGGAGCGAACAGG
RNAcentral lists this ribosomal RNA (253 nucleotides) under uncultured bacterium. RNAcentral's name for it is "partial 16S ribosomal RNA". It matches the Rfam family "Bacterial small subunit ribosomal RNA", at positions 524 to 776 of the family's 1533-position model. The record is from RNAcentral.